UACAGAGGUCACGAGCGUUGUACGGAUUUACUGGGCGUAAAGGGUGCGUAGGAGGCCGCGCAAGUCAGGCGUGAAAGCCCGGGGCUCAACCCCGGAACGGCGUUUGAAACUGCGCGGCUGGAGGGCCGGAGAGGCUGCCGGAAUUCCCGGUGUAGCAGUGAAAUGCGUAGAGAUCGGGAGGAACACCAAAGGCGAAGGUAGGCAGAUGGAAGGCACCUGACUCUGAGGCACGAAAGCCAGGGGAGCAAACGGG
RNAcentral lists this ribosomal RNA (253 nucleotides) under uncultured bacterium. RNAcentral describes it as "partial 16S ribosomal RNA". It matches the Rfam family "Bacterial small subunit ribosomal RNA", at positions 524 to 776 of the family's 1533-position model. The record is from RNAcentral.